UAUCAUCCCACAACUCAGAGAACGGAUGUGGGGCUGGGCCAGUAUCAAGACUGCCGGCAGCUCUACAGCCAGGGACCAGACAGUCAACCACAGUGGCUAGAACCCAGUGAGUGGCCCUGUGAGUCAGCCAGGGUGAGGACUGCAGCUAUUACCCAGCCUCCACAUGCCUCUGGUCUAAGACGGUCCCCAUAUGAGACUCUGGGUUUCUCAGGAUCGACGUGAGCUCAGAGCCUAGAUCCUGUGAUCCUGGAAAUCGUACUGUACCCAUUUGCUACAGGCUGCAAGGACUUUUGGGGGACCCAGCUUUCCUUCCAUCGGUGGUUUCUGGGUCUGAAACUGGUCUUGAGUGUGGAACCUGGAGAAGCAGUCAUUGCUUUUCACAAUUGUGGCCGUCCCCGGAGGCUCCAUUCUUUGUGUCUUUUAAUUGCACAGACCAGGAAGUGAGUGCCCCCGUGACUAUGCAUCCAUUUUGCCCUUAAAAGUGCUGGGCCCUCUCUGCUGUCUCCCUCACUCUCUGCCACUCUGUCUUGGCAAUAAUUCUGACCCUCUGGCUCUGACAGCUGGGCAUGCCGUGGGCCUCUGCAGUUCUGGAGUCCACCAGGCAGCACGACAGAGCCUGAUUCUAGAGCGGCAUCUCCUACUGUCUGCUGCUGCCCUGCUUCUUGGUGAUGCCGGCGAGCCUUUGCCAUGCCAUCCUUACUAAUUUGGCAAAUGGUGCCCUUCAGCCCCGCGCAGGACCUAGUCCCAGCAGGGGGUUUCCAGGUUCAUACAGCACAUCCUCUGCAGUGGGGCCCCUCUCUGAGCCCUGCAGCCCUCCUCCUACCGGUGGCCUCACUUAGUGAGGGCAGGAGCCACCCUCCCAGGAGGGCAGUGCCAAAGCAGAGCACUCGCCCCUAUCCAAACGCAUUUCCACUCCCUUCGACUCGGCACCUCGGAAUCUAGCCCCACUGGUGUUCUAGAGAACCUGUGGCUCCUCAGGGGACAUGGCCCUGCCGUUUGUCACAGGGCCCAGCGUGCCCUGACUCGGCUGUGGAGCACCUGACCUCUAGUGAUUGGUCUUCCAGUGUUACCCCUUCCAUCCAGUUUCCCUCCCCAUCCUCUUAUGCUUCCUGACAGAUCGUCACACUGUUUAGGACGUUCCUGUCUACUAGUGCACCAGGCAUAAGGGUUGAAUAGUGAUCCCCCAGAUUCACACCCACUGGAACCUCAGGGUGUGAUCCUACUGGGAAAUAGAGUCCUUGCAUGUAUGAUUAAAUGCAGUCGUACCAGAUUAGGUGGGCCCUCAGUCCAACGGCUGUUGACCUUACCAGAGAGGAGAGGACACAGAAGACAAGAGGCACACAAAGCAAGAGGGUCCCCAAGUUCCAUGGUCACUUGUUACGAGCACCACAAGGAAUGAGAGCUUAGUACCAGUCAGUCAUUGCUGGAGGACAUUCUUUCUUUCUAUGUGAUACUGGGGGUAGACUCGGGGCCUCACACAGGCUGGUUGCAUUAGUCAGAUUUUUGUCACUAUGACAAAUUAUCUGAGAAAACCAAAUCAAAGGAGAAAAGAUGUAUUUUAGCUCAUAGUUUAAGAGGUUUGCGCCCAUGGUCAGCUGGCUCCAUGGCUGUAGAGACAGGGGGAGAGGGA
This 1630-nucleotide long non-coding RNA is filed under the name Marmota monax (woodchuck). Lineage: Eukaryota; Metazoa; Chordata; Mammalia; Rodentia; Sciuridae. The record is from RNAcentral.